This 244-nucleotide ribosomal RNA is filed under the name uncultured bacterium. RNAcentral describes it as "partial 16S ribosomal RNA". It matches the Rfam family "Bacterial small subunit ribosomal RNA", at positions 89 to 334 of the family's 1533-position model. The record is from RNAcentral.
UGGCGACCGGCGCACGGGUGAGUAACACGUAUCCAACCUGCCGAUGACUCGGGGAUAGCCUUUCGAAAGAAAGAUUAAUACCCGAUGGCAUAGUUCUUCUGCAUGGUAGAACUAUUAAAGAAUUUCGGUCAUCGAUGGGGAUGCGUUCCAUUAGGUUGUUGGCGGGGUAACGGCCCACCAAGCCUUCGAUGGAUAGGGGUUCUGAGAGGAAGGUCCCCCACAUUGGAACUGAGACACGGUCCAA